GAUGUUCAUUUUGUAAAUUAUGGCCCCAUUUAGAGUAAAAAUAGACGAUAAAGCAGGGUAUGCUUUAGGGCGCGGCUACGUUGUGAUUGGCGCCUAUACAGGAGUAUAGGCGUAGCCGUCGCUAUGUCAGUGUGUUUUCAGUUCAUGAAAGCUAACUGUAUCAUUUUGUUCGCGUAAUACAAUCUUGCUCAGCGUUUGAUUGUACUAAAAGACCCUCAGAUGUUCAGUUUUUCCGUUAUAUUGUGGUGAAAGUGAGAUCUGAUGUGUUGCGACCUCGCUCCGGUACACAAACCCUAUUUAACCCCACAGCAGGACCCUGAACAGGAUUGGAGCUACGCGGCUGCUGUUGGACAGAUGUGAUGGAUGAGGUCUGUGGACCAAACGUGUCACCUGCAGUACAUGAUGGCGCUCUGAUAGUGGUGAGGAAAUCAAUGAAGGGCCUGAGAGCAGCCGGUCUGGCAGACUUGACACGCAACAGAGGAAGGGUGGAGCAUAAAAAAGCCGAGUGUGGACCGCGAGCCUAUUCACUGUGGUUUGGAAAAGCAGACACGAGGCUGAGGUGAGAGAGCAGGGAAAAGAGAGCAGGGAGAGAGAGGACAGAUAACCCGGCCGGCUUUCACACCCUUGAAGGAGAACAGGAAUGACCUUCGACCUCUGGAUCUGUGAGCACCCCACCGUCCCUCCUCCAAGUAGCGACCCCUCAGCGGCAGCCGACCAUGCCUAAGCCGGAGAGACAGAGCGAGGAGGAAGUGUCUGCACUAACCAGCAGGUGAGCAUCAUCACCAUCAUCCUCAUCUUUCCACCCUUCAUGCACCUGCGACCCCUUCUACCAGCGGAUCAGAGUGUGAAGAUAUUAAACCAACUGGCAGGAUCGGUUGAGAGCUCGCCGACUGACGGGCCAGAACAGAUGCACAGGAGGAGGAAUUGGACAAAUUUCAGGACAUCUAAUGCUACCUUUCAGCUGUUAUGAAGCGACUUUUGCACCAUUCAUCAGACUGUACCUCUCUUGUACCUGCGUCUGUGUGAGGUGAGGAAUAAAUUCUCUCUCUCGCUCUCUGUAAUAUCUGCUUCCUUUCCUCCCGUGGAGACGCUCAGCGGGUCGCUUCACAUCUCCACAACUCCGGAUGGAAGGAAGAUAAAACACAGCAGCAGAGUAUCAUACCGGGGUUGAUGCACCGUUCAUGUCGAGCGAUCUGACUGAGUGGG
Long non-coding RNA from Thunnus maccoyii (southern bluefin tuna), 1206 nucleotides. RefSeq lists it as uncharacterized. The record is from RefSeq and is a predicted model, not a curated record. The transcript is spliced from 11 exons. NCBI's taxonomy places the organism in Eukaryota, Metazoa, Chordata, Actinopteri, Scombriformes, Scombridae.